AUUGAACGCUGGCGGCAGGCCUAACACAUGCCAGUCGAGCGGAUGAAGGGAGCUUGCUCCUGGAUUCAGCGGCGGACGGGUGAGUAAUGCCUAGGAAUCUGCCUGGUAGUGGGGGAUAACGUCCGGAAACGGGCGCUAAUACCGCAUACGUCCUGAGGGAGAAAGUGGGGGAUCUUCGGACCUCACGCUAUCAGAUGAGCCUAGGUCGGAUUAGCUAGUUGGUGGGGUAAAGGCCUACCAAGGCGACGAUCCGUAACUGGUCUGAGAGGAUGAUCAGUCACACUGGAACUGAGACACGGUCCAGACUCCUACGGGAGGCAGCAGUGGGGAAUAUUGGACAAUGGGCGAAAGCCUGAUCCAGCCAUGCCGCGUGUGUGAAGAAGGUCUUCGGAUUGUAAAGCACUUUAAGUUGGGAGGAAGGGCAGUAAGUUAAUACCUUGCUGUUUUGACGUUACCAACAGAAUAAGCACCGGCUAACUUCAUG
Molecule: ribosomal RNA, 484 nt
Filed under: uncultured bacterium
Lineage: Bacteria
Description: partial 16S ribosomal RNA
Rfam family: Bacterial small subunit ribosomal RNA
Source: RNAcentral